GAUGAACGCUGGCGGCGUGCCUAAUACAUGCAAGUCGAGCGAACAGACGAGGAGCUUGCUCCUCUGACGUUAGCGGCGGACGGGUGAGUAACACGUGGAUAACCUACCUAUAAGACUGGGAUAACUUCGGGAAACCGGAGCUAAUACCGGAUAAUUUAUUGAACCGCAUGGUUCAAUAGUGAAAGACGGUUUUGCUGUCACUUAUAGAUGGAUCCGCGCCGCAUUAGCUAGUUGGUAAGGUAACGGCUUACCAAGGCAACGAUGCGUAGCCGACCUGAGAGGGUGAUCGGCCACACUGGAACUGAGACACGGUCCAGACUCCUACGGGAGGCAGCAGUAGGGAAUCUUCCGCAAUGGGCGAAAGCCUGACGGAGCAACGCCGCGUGAGUGAUGAAGGUCUUCGGAUCGUAAAACUCUGUUAUUAGGGAAGAACAAAUGUGUAAGUAACUAUGCACGUCUUGACGGUACCUAAUCAGAAAGCCACGGCUAACCACGUG
RNAcentral lists this ribosomal RNA (497 nucleotides) under uncultured bacterium. RNAcentral's name for it is "partial 16S ribosomal RNA". It matches the Rfam family "Bacterial small subunit ribosomal RNA", at positions 28 to 507 of the family's 1533-position model. The record is from RNAcentral.